AUGAGCCUUAGGAGAAGAGAGGUGCCAUUUCAUCAGCGUGGUUGCCCCGCGGUGGGAGCAAUGGUGUACCACUGGCAGAAGAGGAGGCUGGCAGAUUAUAAAAGGGCAGAACCUUGCUCUGCAGCAGCGAUAGCUCAUCCAAAACCAUCCCUGGACUGUGGCGUGGUGGGUCCAUCUGAACUGGCAGAUCUCACUGGAGCGGGUGCCAGGCCUGGGACCGCGGUGUCUCCCAAGACCCAGUGGGCUUUUGCAGUCUGGGACCAUCGGAAAGCCAUGUCUUCUAAUAAAAACCUGUCUGCCCUUUUCUCAGAGGCAAAACCCUGGAUCCUCUCACUGGCUUCUUUUCUUCUCCCUCCCUCCCCACAGGCAAACAGUCGCCAAGAGCUGAAGCCCCACUUUCCUCACAGCUUCCCCUGCUCCCAGCACUGCCCCCCUCUCUCUAAUCCCUCUUGUGUAGAUUCCAGACUGGCCUUCCUAAAUCCCACGGUACAUGUCUGUCUCCCAGCUGUAAAGAUUCUUGGUAGCCCCUUGUUGAGGCUGGGACAGAAUCUCAAUAACUUAGCCUCACACUUGCGGUCCUCUCUUCAAUCUGACUGUGGCCUUCAUUUCUUCUUCGUCCCCUUCUCCUUCCCUUCCUCCACUGACUCCUGUCCUCCAGUCUGCGAACAAGAAUCUCUCUCUAGAGCCAAAUAUCCACGUGGUGUUUCUGAAGCCUGUGGCUCCCCUUCCCCUGGCUGGCCUGGAAUGCCCUUCCCUCCUGCCUGGGCCUCACUGGCUCCUCUGUGAUCUGCCCCCAGUAAUCAGUCUCCCCUCUGAGCUCUCUCAUCAUGUAUUAUCCAUGCCCUCAUGCAUUCCUUUCAUACCUACUAUAAAAUAAUAAUAAAGUAAUAGCUACUGCUUAUUGAGUACCUCCGUAUCAGGUACACACAGAGUUAUUAACCAAAGCCAUUAGUUUGAUGGAGGGCCAGAGAGAUGAGAGACCAGGAAAGCGUUGGCAGGGCCCCAGCCAUCCAGGCUGUGGCUGGAGAUGGACUUUCUCAGCCUAGAGAAUUCCUUGGGCACAAGAGAGUCAAACACAGGAGGGUCUACUUGAAAUCAUUUGGGGGACCCGAGAUGGGCAAUAUGUGAAGAGGCUAUUUUCUCUGAUGUCGAGAAAGGGCUAGGUUUGGGAUACACUCAGCUGUUGUGACUGGCUGUUGUAACUGCCCCUUGAGAACUACUUCCAUGCUGACCCACAGAGGGUCUAGGACUCUAGCAACAGGGAAAGGAACAGAGGCCAUCACCCCAUCUCUCCUCACUUGGCCCCAUUCCCCUGCCUACACGGCAGGCUCUGAAAAGCAAAGAGCCCUGGAGUCCAGCUGCCUGGCUCUGGCCCCUCCUGCCCCACCUAAGGGUCUGCUCACCCUUCUGGUCCUAUGGGCACACUGCUCCUACGCCCGUUCCUUGAAGCUGAAGUGGGUGAGCUCCUCAGCUGUCCGGGCUGCAAGAUUCUCUCUCUACAGUGUAUAGCCCGUCUUCUGCCUCCAGCAUCUAGCUGUCCCUAGUCCUUUGCUCGAAGUGGUCACUGUGCUUCUUGUCUCAGGGCCCUAGAUUCUCAUCAGCUUGAAGGGACAGGAUGAAGGCACAGGCCCUGGGCUAGUGGCCUGAAUAAGCUUUUAUUUAGGGCUUUGCCUAUUUGUCGAGAUGGCCUAUAUGUCCUUCAAGAUAGGGCUCUGAGUCCUUAACACCAAACAUCCUUAGAGAAAAAAGCAACAACCUGAUUUCCAGAUAGAGCCAGGGGAAUUUUCCCUGAAUAGACCAGGGACCCAAGCCAGAGACACUCAAGAAGGCUGAAGGAGUCUGUCUUGGAGGCAGAGGACAUUCGAAGAGCAGACUUCUGGCCUCAGUGUGGAUGUGGCCCCUUUCAAAUGCCCAGCCUCCUGCCAGCCACCAGGGGCAUCUGCCACUUAUCCGGAAGCUCUGGGAAAGGCAGCGCAUUUGCGGGGGCAUUCGGAAUGCCAUCAGCUUCCCGAAUGGAUGACGUGGAGUUUGCACAUGGCCGUUUCCUUUUUACUCCACGUUUCUGGAGAAAGCCUAAUGGCUUCAAGCGCUCCUCUCUGCUCGUGAAAUUUAAAAGGGGGAACAAGAGCACACAAUUAUGAUCCCACAGCAGGGCAAUUGGCUUGCCUCCGACUAUUAGGUCCCAUUAAAGAUGUAAUAUCUCUGGUGUCUCAGGAGAAAUUCCUACUUAUUUAUGCCUGGUAUUAGGGCAAAUAUUAGUUAGCAUCAAAACAGGAUGCAGUUAAGUCUAAUCUGAUGUCACCAGCAGAGCUUGCCUUAUAAACAAAAUAAGUGGCAAUUACUUUCAAGCUGAACUAAUAAUUUUUCCAAGUGAUUCCAUUCGGUGUUCUUCAGAAAUGUUCACAGAAGGAAGGUGUGUUCUAGGCAAGUGCGCAGGGUGUGCUUCUUAAUCACACUUUAUUUAAAUGUACAAACGAAGGCUGCGGGGCCGGCUCCCCUCUCCUCCUCCCUAGGUUUUCCUGUGGGACAGUAAUUAGGAAAUAUGACCCAAUAUAGGAAAUGAGCAUUGCUGCUUUUAUGGGGAUUUUAAACCAAAUGGCUCUGCUCCGGUGACUGAAGGAGUUGCUCCCAAGAAGCCUGGUGGGCUGCUUCAGGCUGCCUGCAAUUCAGACCUUUUGGAAAAUGGCUCCUUGUUCCUCUGGGAAGACCUUUCUCAAGAGGAAGAGGGGAAUGCCCGGGAGAGGGCCAGGGGGCAGGGCCCUGGGUGAGGAGCAGGCCCAGCACUCAGCCUCGCUGCGCGUGACCAGGCAGGCUCUUCAGGUGGUGGUCUGGGGGCACUCCUCUCUUCCGCACUGAGGUCUUCCUGGCAGCCACUGGCUGUGUGCUCUGCUUUACUUCAGCCUUUAGCAGCUGGGCAUUCUGUACCUUGUCCAGAAGCAGAGUGUCCCUAGCCCAGAACUUUCUCAGCUUGCAACUCUCACCCCCAGCCAAGACUCUCUGUGCCCCGUUAAAUGUGCCCCUUAGUCUGACACCCACACAGCUCUCAGAGGGCUAUACCUAGGCCCUCCGGGGGAUAGGCGGGGCCAUCCAUCCCUCUGUCCUUCUGGGAGAGGCAGCUGCUUUGGGGUCUCACUCAUGGGCAUUAUCUCUGCAGCAGAGAUGGCCCCACCCCCUACACUGGCAGGCACUGGGGGAUUAUGUGCAGGACUGUACCUCCAAUCCCACAGGACCCUGGUUCCUCAUGUUUCCCUGCAACAGCACCAGCCAGGGUUGGCCCGGGCCAUAAGAAAAUCUACCAGAGCUUCAGAUUCACUUCCCCUCCAGGGUUCCACCCUCUCUUCACGUAGCUCCAUCUCAUCACACCCACAAGGGGCACUCUCCACGGAUCAGGUCUGGUGAGGUUCAGUGGCAGAUUCGCAGAAGAAGGAAGCCCAGAUUCUACCCACACAGAACCUGCACUUCCAGGUUAGAGAAAUGGUAACAGAUAAUUAACUGAAGACACCCAGGCUGAGAUGAGUACCAUGUGGUAGGUAGAAAGUGGUCUAGAGAGGCAAUCACGUCCAUUUGGGAAGAUGAAGGAAACCUUCAGGAAGGAGGCAGAAUUUGCGAUCUUAAAGGUCAGAUACAGUUCCCCUUCGAGGAGCCGGUUUCCAGGGAUGAUAUUCCAAGCAGAAGAAGCUGCAGGAGGCAAGACGUGGAGCUGGGACAUGAGGGGCCCUUAGACAAUGCCAGGUUGGGGGCCAAAUUAGUUACAUUUCUUUUAUUGAAGCAACAGAAACCACCGACUGGCUGUGGAGGCUGAGUGGGACAGAUCAGCGUGCCAGCCGUCAUGGGAGAAGGGUUGGGGUACAGCAACACAGGUGUCUGCGUGGGACAGAGGUCUGGGGUGGCAGUUGGUCCUCCAGGCCACUGCCUUGAGCGCCUCUGAGCUGUCAAGGGUCAGCUUGACACCAGCUGCUACCCUGCCAGAACCCGCCAAUGGCUCCUCAUCGUGCCCAGGGGAAGUCCAAAUGCCUCUGCUUAGCACAUCCUGAAAGUCUCUCCCUGAGCUGCACUUUCCCCUUCCACCUGCUAUUACCUUUUAGAAAUAAUUUCCUCUGACUCUGGCAGACCCUGCUUGGGAGCUGAGGUAGGCAGGUCAGCUAAGCUCCCUACAAAUCGCCACAUUCCAGGAGCACAGAGCUGACACCCCGCCGCAACCUUGCUUCCCUGGUCUGUGGGUAGGCACCUGACCGACUGUGCCUAAUCACAUUUGUUCUAGGAACCUGGAGAAGGGCAGAGGCUGGGUCCCACGGGAGGGCCAGUGAGGCCUGGCUGAAGUCACAGAUGCCACUACCGUGCACUCUCCUGCUUCCUGUUUCUUGGUUGGUCAUGUCUUUCUCAGAUUCCCUGAGAUAUGUGUGCGUGUAUAGCUACAGAUUCCCUCUGUAUUACUUGAAAAUAAGUAUUUACAUGCGAAUCACUUCACCCUAAACACUCUGCAAGGUAGCUUCCAAGAAUGAGCCUAGGGCAAUCUCAGGGAGUGGAGGAGGACUGGGGUCCAGGUAAACGCUUGGACGCAGGAGGUGUCUCGUGGUUGCCAAUCACUGAGCCCCUGCUCGCUUGCCUGUGAAGUGGGCUCCGUAUGUGUCCCCUGACGUGCAGAGUGUCACGGGACUCUGCUGUUAAUCUGACUGACCCGUAGAAGCUGGCCACACUAGAGCCACUGGCUGCCAGAUCCCAGCCUCACCAACCUGCCUCUGCAGCCCAGAGGUGGGAGGCAGAAUGUCACUGAGAGGGCAAGGUCCAGUCCUAGCAAAGAAAGGGGGUGGCCUUGUUAGGUUAAGAAAUAUGCCCAGAAACAAAUCUUGUAAGAAGUUCCGUCUACAGGCACACACGUUUGGAAGCAUUUUGCCUGCCACGUGGGUUGGUAGAAAUAGAAUGUAAUGAAACAGCAGAGAUCAGUGGAUCUUCACGAAUGCAUCACAGUCAGCAGGAAGAAUGUGUCUUGGUCAGCAAGACAGCAGGAGAUACAGGGCUGAAAAACAGGAAGGGUCGCCGCAGAGCUGAUACUCUCCCCCCGCCCCGUGGGAGGCCCCGCGGGGGGGG
RNAcentral lists this long non-coding RNA (5088 nucleotides) under Ovis aries (sheep). RNAcentral describes it as "lncRNA (ENSOARG00000026413.1)". The record is from RNAcentral. Lineage: Eukaryota; Metazoa; Chordata; Mammalia; Artiodactyla; Bovidae.